Molecule: ribosomal RNA, 253 nt
Filed under: uncultured bacterium
Lineage: Bacteria
Description: partial 16S ribosomal RNA
Rfam family: Bacterial small subunit ribosomal RNA
Source: RNAcentral
UACGUAGGGGCCUAGCGUUGUCCGGAUUUAUUGGGCGUAAAGAGCGUGUAGGCGGCUAGGUAGGUCCGUUGUGAAAACUCGAGGCUCAACCUCGAGACGUCGAUGGAAACCAUCUAGCUAGAGUCCGGAAGAGGAGAGUGGAAUUCCUGGUGUAGCGGUGAAAUGCGCAGAUAUCAGGAAGAACACCCGUGGCGAAGGCGGCUCUCUGGUACGUGACUGACGCUGAGACGCGAAAGCGUGGGGAGCGAACAGG